RNAcentral lists this ribosomal RNA (253 nucleotides) under uncultured bacterium. Its description in RNAcentral is "partial 16S ribosomal RNA". It matches the Rfam family "Bacterial small subunit ribosomal RNA", at positions 524 to 776 of the family's 1533-position model. The record is from RNAcentral.
UACGUAGGGUCCGAGCGUUGUCCGGAAUUAUUGGGCGUAAAGCGCGUGUAGGCGGCUUUGCAAGUCGGGUGUGAAAGCCCUCAGCUCAACUGAGGAAGUGCGCCCGAAACUGCAGAGCUUGAGUGCCGGAGAGGGUAGCGGAAUUCCCCAAGUAGAGGUGAAAUUCGUAGAUAUGGGGAGGAACACCGGUGGCGAAGGCGGCUACCUGGACGGUAACUGACGCUGAGGCGCGAAAGCCAGGGGAGCAAACGGG